GGCUUCGUAGCUCAGUCGGUAGAGCAAAGGACUGAAAAUCCUUGUGUCACUGGUUCGAUUCCAGUCGAAGCCACCA
Molecule: transfer RNA, 76 nt
Filed under: Bacillota bacterium
Lineage: Bacteria; Bacillati; Bacillota
Description: tRNA-Phe
Rfam family: tRNA
About the family: Transfer RNA (tRNA) molecules are approximately 80 nucleotides in length.
Source: RNAcentral